UUGAUAGUAAAAGCAUUUUUUUAUAGCAUAUGCAAUAGACCUACUCUUCGAUUUAUCUAUAUUUACUGACUGUUCCACAGUUAUACCAAGAAAUGUUUACACAGAUGAUGAUAAGCAUAUGUAGAAAUGCAACGUUUUCACUGACCGGAAUAACCAGCUCCAGGCUGCAGUUCUCUGCACGAAGAUAAAGUUUGAUAGGCAAACUUGGCAGCUCCUGACCGCGGCGACCUGAGCCCAGAGGAGCAGCCGGGGGCGGUGGGCAGAGCCAGGAUGUCUGAGUGGCUGUGUUGGGAAGAUAGCUACGUACAAAAGACUGAUGUCCGGAGAGGAGAGCCGUGCUGGAGACGGACACUUGAAACCCUUGAAAAUGGAAGACGUCACCGAUCCCCUAAAGAGAGAAUGGAGAAAGGAAAGAAGGGAACCUGGCUCCAGACCCGAAGAGCCUCAGCCUAGCAUUAGAGUCUGUCUCUGUUUGUGCUCCUCCCUCCAUCGCCCUCCCCUGCCCUCUCAAUCUGUCACAGUGAUUUUUACGUGCCAUUUACUGCCGUGCUCCCUUGAGCAUGGGAAUACCUGCAAGACAAGGAGGGGCCUUCACAGGCAGAGGCGUCAGGGUCAGAACCGUGGAGUGGCCUCGGUGCUGCAGAGGAAGGAUGUCAACCACGGGCGUCUUCGUUUUGGAAAUUGGAGACAUCUUCCCAGGGUCAAAGGAGCCCAGAGAUGGAAGCCAGAUGACUCAACUCCGGAUUGGGGAGGGAUUUCCUUAAAAGACCUCUCAGUUUGUGGGAGCACAGACCAACAUGACCGUGUACCAUACAUGCUCAUCACGCCUGGCUACCCUGAUGUUCUCAGACUCCCAGCCGCUCUGCAGAAAGUGGAGGCUAAACAAAAUCAUCUUCCCUCCCACCGUGGCUCUUGUUCAAUAAAACCAACAGAAGCCACAGGCUGACAGCAUCUGGUUAAGGGAGGGAGGGACCUGAACGGCUGCGGCGUGGUGACCGCUGCACCCGUAACACGGGUUGCUGGCUGCGCCUGCGGAGCGUGGCAGUGUCUGGCCCCGUCCUUGCGCUUGUAACCUGAAGUCAGGCCUCUAUGCUCUGGGACUCUUCUUUUUUUUUUUUUUUUAUCAUUAUACUUUAAGUUCUAGGGUACAUGUGCACAACGUGCAGGUUAGUUACAUAUGUAUACAUGUGCCAUGCUGGUGCGCUGCACCCAUUAACUCGUCAUUUAGCACUAGGUAUAUCUCCUAAUGCUAUCCCUCCUCCCUCCCCCCACCCCACAACAGUCCCCGGUGUGUGAUGUUCCCCUUCCUGUGUCCAUGUGUUCUCAUUGUUCAAUUCCCACCUAUGAGUGAGAACAUGCGGUGCUCUGGGACUCUUCUUAAGAUGAGCUCUUCAACUCUGCGGCAGCUGCCUUUUCUGGCGCUGCGGGCCCCGCCACACUGGCCGGUCCCUCCACAUCACGCCUCCUCCUGGAUCUUUGAGAGGCUCCGGACGCCCAUGACAGUCACCUGCUGUGGUUGGGAGGGGCAUUCUCAGGAGCAGUCCUGAGAGUUCCUGAGAGUUCCGGGUGGGCCUGAAGGCGCGGGGGCUCAGAGCUGCGCUUUCCUUGCCGGCGUGGUCCUUCCGUGCACUCCCCGGCGCCAGCUGACUGCGUGGGUGUGGAAGGGAGGCCUGUGGUGGCCUUUGGAGGCUGGUGCUUCCCUGCCGGACUACCUAGCAAGUCUGUUCUUGGAAUUGUCCAUCCCGAAGCCUCCUGCGUGGACUGCACCCUCAGCAGAACCCGCAGGCUGCGGCGUGGCGCCCGGGCUCACAGUGCCCCGCUGUGUGCUCCAGCUCUCCCCUGGCCACAUUACAUGAAGUGGGAAGGUGGGCUCCAGUUCUCCCCUGGCCACAUUACAUGAAGUCUCAGACCCUCCCGCAGGGCCACCCUGAGCUCCGACACGCCAGGGCCGAGUUCCACGCUGCUGCCAAGCACUCAGCCUGCGGGCGCUGUGUCAGCCGGUGUGUCGAGGAGGCUCACACGGCUUCAUUUCUGAGAGUGUGUUAUGUUCUACUCAUAAAAGGCAACGCAGUGGGGGCAAAAUCCUGGGGCCAUGGCUGUUUCCCUCCCAGCGGGAGUGGGGCCCUGUGUUCCAGAAGGUCGUUUUCUUAGGAGCUCAAGGUCGGCCUAUGAAUGGACUUCCUAGGCUUCCCCUCCCUGCUCCGCCGCCUUUGACACUCCAGAUGGUCGGCUGGGGCAGCUCAGGGCGCCCCGUCCGUCUCCUGUGGCUCGGGCAGAGCUGUCCCUCGUUGUCUGAUGCUGGUAUCUUGACACCUCUUGUUUCAUGUGGUUUUUCUCUUUUGAUUUGUUUGGUUUUUCAAGCAGAAGGUAAACAUGGUUCCUGUUACUCCACCUUGGCUGGAAGCAAGUCUCCUGUUCAGAUUGUCUUAGUUCCUUAUUCUCUACUGUGAACAAUCUCCUCAGACCCAGAGAGUUCCAAAAACCGAGGAUACAGGCUCUCCUUGGCCUCCCCAUGUCCCCAUGGAUACUAGGGUAAUGUCCUUCUCUGCCUUAGAGCAGAGCAUGGCCUGACGGGCUCAGUAUAGGACCUGACAUCUCCUGGACUGAGGCUGGCUUCCAGCUUAGAUGACCGCCCACUAAAUGGCCCCUGGGGCAGCCCGUCGCAAAUUCUCAUCCAAAUAGCUCUGAAGACAGAGGGAAAAAAGGUGAAAAUUCAUUCCAACAGGAGGAGAUCUGGCUGGCAACGUCUGGGGGCAAGUGUAGCACAAAGGAGUGCUAGUUGACUAAGUGGGUGAAUGUGCUGAGUCCGAAGGGUGAGCUCUCUCCAGCAUGAUUUCCACCUCCUAGGUGUGGCAUUCAGUACUGUUUACAAGCUGGGCAGAAACAAGCCCUGCAAGGCCCUGCCCCAACCCCUGCUCCCACCCAGCUCCCUGACCCCUGUUCCCACCCAGCUCUCUAGUGGCUGCUGCUCUCCGCGCUCCCAUGCACUGCCCAGUGUACCUGCCCAGCCCAUCACCCUCUCCUCCCUGUACCCAGCCCAGGCCACCUUAUUUUCUUGGGGCCGUCUGCCUCUCUGACUUGAGCCACAGAGCUGCCAUCCUAGGAGUCUGUGGUAAGGAGACCAGGCAUGUGCCACCAGGUGGAAAUGUCACAGCCUGACCCAGAGGCUGGCCCCAGAGUUUCACUUGGUGUCCGUCAGCUGCAGGCUGAUCCCCUGGAGCCUCUUUCACUGACCACAUGGCUCCGACCUGGCCAGGGCAGACUGUGGAAGGGAGGCCAGAGCGCUAAGCAUCUGAAAAUUCAGCCUGGGGAGGACCCUGUCUGUGUGGUCACCAGCCCAACCUCAUGCCCCUUCUCAGCACCUCCCUCAGGCCCCAGGGUGCCCGCUGGCCAGUUUUCAGUGCAGAAACUCCUUAGAGAGUGGGGGGCAUUUCUUAGGAAAUGCCUACUCCAAACAUUUGGAUUGUGGGCUUAUCUGUUUAGAAAUUCUGAAUAGGUUAUAGUUGGCUCAAACAUCAAAAAGUAUAAAGAAACAUACAGUGUCCAGUGUCCCUCCCCCAAGCUCCUCCUGCCUGGUUACUUUCUCAUGUAAACCUAUGUGCAAAACUGCAGCUGUGAGCAAUCUUCUGUUUUUGGAAAGUGGUAGCAAGUUGAUACCCACUGAUCCUCACCUUGAAUUUUUCAGCGCACAGCGUGUUCACGCAGAUAGAACCAGCAAAACGUGAUGCUAGACUGGCGUGGGGGCAUGGGAGAAAGGCCCAGAGAUGGUCCAAGGACCCGCCUGUGUGAUGGCCAGCAGGUCUGUCCUGUCCUCUGAUGAGCUUGGGAGGGAGAGCGGAUGUCUGUUUCUGACUACGUUGGGGGUGCCUGUUAGCCAGCGAGGUGGAGGAGUCCUGUAGGUGGCUCGGUGUUGUGAUGGUUACUUUCAUGUAUCACCUGGACAGGGCCAGAGGGUGCCUAGAUAUUUGGUCAAACAUCACUUUGGGUAUUUCCGUGAGGGUGUUUUUGGAAGAGAUUAGCAUUCAAAUUGGCAGACUGAGGAAAGCAAGAUGACCCUCCCCGUUGUGGUGGGCCACAUCCAGUUGAGGACCUGAAUUCAAUUGAGGGUCCCCUGAGGACCCUGAUGAAAGCAGAACUCAUUCCUGCCAGCUCUGUGUGAGUGGAGCUCAUGUUUAUUUUUAAGAGACAGGGUCUCGCUCUGUCACCGAGGCUGGAGUGCAAUGGUGCCAUCAUGGUUCACUGCAGCCUCCAACUUCUGGGCUCAAGCGAUCCUCCCACCUCAGCCUCCUGACCAGCUAGGACUACAGACAUAUGCUACCACGCCCAGCUAUUUUUUUUUUUUUAGAGAUGGGAUCUCACUAUGUUGCCCAGGCUGGUCUCAAACUCCCAGGCUCAAGUGAUCCUCCCGCCUCAGCCUCCCAAAGUGCUGGGAUUACAGACGUGAGCCACUGUGCCCGGUGCAACCUAAUGGCUUUUAAAGAUGCCUGUGCUUACCUCAGCCAAGGGCCACGGUUGCACUGGAGUUCCUGGACACAGCCCUAUCUGGUUACAUGGCGGCUGCUUCAGGCUCCGGUCUGUUCCUGUGCUGGCUGCAGGGCCAAGCUGGCGUCUGAAGGACAUUUCUUCAUCGAAUGGGCAGUCUCUGGAGGGUCCAAUUUUCCUUCUAGGUUUUCCUUUCUUAGGACACUGUCCUUGCCAACCAUUUCCUGCCACGGCUGGUGGUGGCCAAGUCCUCAGGGCCUCUCUGAAUGCCCGGCUCCUGUUCCACUCACAAUCCCCGGUGCAGGCCUCGCCUGGGAGCAGCGGCUUCUCAGAACAUAAACCCCAGGGACGCUCUCAGGUGCCAGCUGUGUCUAGUGUGGCCUGUUUGGACCCCAUGACUUGGAAAAUUUUAAGAAGCACUUAUAAACUAUUAACCUGUGAUUGUAGGUAAUGAAACAACCAGAGGGCUUUAUAAAAUUAAGAUCAAAUUCUACCACAGAAGCAUUUGAAUUGGGCUCACUGCAUGCCAGGCGCUGCUGUAAGCACUCUACCUGCAUGUUCUCAUUUGAUCCUCAGCAACCCCAGGAGGCUGGCACGGUCACAGCUGCACUCAUGGGCGAGCAGGUCUGUGAGCCAAGAGGUGGUGCCCCUCCCAUGGCCACGCAGCGGUCGGGGGCCACACUGGUGGUUCCAGCCUGUCCCUGCUGCACCAGCAGGCACACUCGAGCCACAGGCCCACUGCCCCUCACAUGCAGAGGGUAGCUGGUCUCCCCCAAGUCGGCUUGGCUUCUGACGAUCGCUCUCGUGCUCCCUCCGGCCCUACCGUGGGGGCUUCAUCUCACACAAUGUCCAGAGUAAGGACCCAAUGUUUACAGAGAUGCGUGUGGAAAGCAUGUCACAGUCAGAGUCCCAGGUACCCUCACGUCAUUCCUGAGGGUACAGGAAGGAAUCAGAACAAGAAGAAAAACCAACAGAAACAAAACAGUAACAACAAGCAAGCUACAAACCAAAGGCAUAUGCAGCGCACAAAGGGUUAACACCUUGACUGGUUCAAGAGCCAGAGAUUAACAUCACAAAUAAAACUGCAAAUUUAAAAAGAUAACAAGAUGCCAUGUUUCAUUAUUGGAUUAGCAAAUACUAAAAAGAAAGCUAUGCCCGGGGUGGGGGACGCUGGAGGACGUGGGGCCGGUCACUCACUCCCGCAGGAUGCCCUGACGAUGCCUGUCAGAAAUCUUAAAAAUGUGUGCAAUGUCUUAAAAUUUAUCCUGUGGAGAUAAUAAGGGAUACGCCCCCAGAUAGAUUCACAGCCUUUUUAUAAUAGCUGAGAUCUGGACAACCUAAAUGGCCAACACUACAGUAUUACUCAAUGACGUGUUUAUUCAAACCAUGGCAUUCUACGCAGUAUUAAAAUGAUCCAGCUCUUCACUUCCUGACCUUAAGAACUGCUAAUGAUAUAAUUGUUACAUGAAAAAAACGUGCACAGUGCCUCGCGUGUCACGGGGUCAGAUGUGCACAGCACAACGUGCGUGCGUAGUUUGGUCUGUCCACGUAGGUACAGGCAUGAGUCAUCACCUGUGUGAUGUUUCUACGAGGGGCUUUUUCUUCUUUUUGCUUAUUUUUCUUGUUUAUAUUUUUCUACAAUGAAUAUGAGUAACCUAUAGCAAAGUGUAAAACAGUGUGAGCAGUCUGUGUGCCAUUUCCUCGACCUCUGCCCACUGGGAGCUGGGUCUGCAGCCUGGCUCCCGCCCCGUCCCCUGCCGAGCUCUGCUGAAGAGCAAAGCAGAAUGUCCCUGAGGAGGGGGCCUCGCCAGCUCCUGCACUGGAGGAGCCUCUGAGUACAUCGAACUGGAGUCUGAGCUGGUCACACAAGCCCCCGCUGAGCACCUGCCAUGGGCUGGGACAUCCUGGGGACGGAAUGUUCUGGAACCACAGCAGUAGGUCAGAUGGGAACUCUGGCACAGACGCCCCCUUUCCAGAUUCUUGUCCAGAUCCCAAGAUGGAUACAAAACAUGGCAAGUAUGAGCUGAGGCUUAGCAAAGCCACAUAAAUCCAUCGCUGCUGCGAAAACAACUCGAAUGACAUGGUGUUGGGAACAAAAACCAUACAAGAAUUCCGCGUCUGGGAAGGGCCUUUCUAAAGUAGUUCUGGUUACAAAACAGAAGUGAGUAUCAUGAGGUGAACAGAAAAGGCAGAAAUGUUAGUGAAAUUUCAGGAUACAGGAAUGAAAGGAAGUCCUGUAACUUACUGAGUGGUUUAGGGAGGCCACCGUUAUGACAGAUAGAUACGAACAUGUGUCACGGCCCAAGUGUAAGAGAAGUGUGUUCAUUUUUGGUGAGAGCAGGACAAGCAGGGCCUGGGUGGUGAAGCGGAGCUUGGGACAUGGGAGGUUUGGGUGGGGGGAGUCUCUCCCCAUGUGGCACCAAGGGGCCCAGGCUGAGGGAGCCUUCGCCAUCUUCCUUCACAGGUGAAUUUGAGGUCACCGGGGCUGCUCCCUGGCCCAGGCGGGGAGAGGCUGUGAGCCUCUCUGGAAGCAGGGGGAGCAUUCCUCCUGCUCACGGUCCACUGGCUGGAGCCCAGCCAGGGCCCACCCAGCUGCAGCAGAGCCUGGAUGGAUCAAGGCGUGCCCAGGAACAAGAGAAGGGACACGUGUCGAAAGCAGAGAGCAGCAUCGACCUGUGUUCAUAGUUAACAGUUGACUAUUUUGACACUUGAGAAUGUUUCCUAGAAUAAAAAUGAGUAAGAAAAGGUUGAAUUUGGCAAAGACAUAAGGCAUACAUUCACGAGAGGUGCUCUCCUAUGGACACAGCAGGUCACUUUAACUGCCUUAGAAAUCUGGAAACAAGGAAAUUCUGAGACCCACAAAUCUGGCAUUUAUCAACCAUCUUUUCUUUCAAUGACAAAUGUAGGUAGUAUAAUUAUUUUAUGAGCAUACAGAGAAACAUAACUUUAGACUCACAAAUGACUGAAAAGUAUUGAUCUACGUGGUUCUUUUCAACCAAAAUUAAUGUAAAUAAUGUAAAAAAAAAAAGUUGAAUUAAAGAUUUAUUUUCCAAAGAGA
Homo sapiens (human) is the source of this 7540-nucleotide long non-coding RNA. RefSeq lists it as uncharacterized. The record is from RefSeq and is a predicted model, not a curated record. NCBI's taxonomy places the organism in Eukaryota, Metazoa, Chordata, Mammalia, Primates, Hominidae. The transcript has 5 exons.